UGCAGAAAUCAAGACAGUUGUCGAGCGGCCUCCUUUGGCCCUCACUCCUGUGUCCUUCCCAGAGGGACAAGCGAGUCGUGGUUUCACCUCUGGUCUUCGGAGCUGGACGACAAGGUCCCAGAGUCACCUCAGGAGCGAGUCGCAGCCUUGUUUCUCCUCAGAUCCCUCUAGAAGGGCGCCGCUGGGGCAUCACGCCGUCAGGGGGUGAAUCUCGUCGUCACAGCUCUUAGGGCUGUUCCGCGGGUGCUGUGAGGACCGGCUGCAGAGCACAGAGCAGAGGGCCUGGCGGGCAGGGGGCCGGUGGUGGGCGAGCCUCCAGCACCACUGUCCCCGGCAUGGGGCCCCUGCGCCCUCCCAUCCACGAGUGGAGCGGGGGGCUCUUCCCAGACACCCUGGCCCUGGCCGCCCCUGCGUCAGCCCCUCCCAGGUUUCCGUGGCCCCCUCAGCUAGCGAGCACUGACUGUGUGCAUCUCUUCCCAACUUGAGGUAGAGUGGGGGGCACACACGGCCCCAGAGGCCCCAGAGGCUGCGGGUGAGCCCCAAGGGAAGCAGACGCUGUCCCCUCGUCCUGUCUACCUUGGGUGGAACAGGAGGGCCUUGGCUGUGAGCACGGGUUACAAGAUCAAAAUCACAGGGCUGCCUUCACAGUGUGUAAACCACGGUCAGGGGCUUGGUUUGGGCCUCAGUUUCCACAUCUGUGAAAUGGGGAGGAGAGAGCUAAUUUGCAUGUUAAAGCAAUGCGAGAUGUGGUUUGAUGAGCACUUUGUAGCACAUAGUAGGUCCUCAAAUUUGCUGUCAGACUGUCUGCCACAGAGCCGGGGGCCCUUGUUGGGCCCAGGCACUGGAGGCACGCGGGCCCUCUUGAGGCUCCACCUGGGGAGGCCCAGGCUUGUCUCCAGGGAGCAAAGCGGAUACUGACGCAGCCCCCUCCGCCCCAGCCUGGGAACCACAGCAUUCUGGGACGUGGGGACUGCGCCAGGACGGGCCGCCAGCUCCCUCUGCUUCUCGUUAGGACUUGUCACCUCCCCCGCCCGGCCCCUCCCUGUUGGGCAGCAGCACUCCUCACCGUCCUUCUGGGACCAUCACGGCCCAGAAAGUCCUGUCAGCUCAGCAGGGUCAAGCCAGGGAAGCUGCGCCUUCCAGAAAGGAGGGGGAAGAGGCCGAGCCUGGACUCUGGACCCGUGAGCCAGGCCCGAGCUGAGCCGCAGAUGCUGUCCAGCCACCUGAACCAGGUGGCCUGUGAGCCUUCCAUCUGUGAGCAGAGACCGGGUCAGAAGUCUCUCCCGCAGGCAGGUACCUGCACGGUGGCCGGCGCUGGGCAGGGUGUGUGAACGGUGCUGAGCGGUGCCCCUGGGGACGCGGGACGUCACGCACCUGGGCGAGUCGGCUGCUCCCUUCCUUCUCACCGCACCGUGUCAGCCCAGCUGAGGCCCGGAGUCUUCCCGGGGCAGCUCCCGGGCUCUGACAGCCGAGGCGAGAGGCGGCUUUGUCGUCCAGGCCGCGAACACAGGCCCCGAGGUCCUGCUGAAGUGGACUAGGAGUUCUGGUCCCUUUGUCCGGACGUAGGAGGCUCGGAGUCUGCGUGCACGUGGCGUCAGCGAGCGGCUGGAGGAGGCUCCCUGGCGAGCUGGGAGGGAGCCACCGUGCCUCCCGUCUUCCCGGGACUUGGACUGCACAGGCGUGCCCGCUGCACUGCGUGUUCGAGACCAGCCAUGACCAUCCUCGGAGCUUCACGGGAAGCGCGUGCCGGGACCACUUUCCUCAGAGGAGCUGUGUGGACCUGCUCCUCGGCCUGCCUGUCGCACAUCCUUACAGCCCUCAGGGACAGAUAUUAUUAUCCCCAUCUUACAGCGAAGGAAACAUACACGAAGGCCUUGCCGGCCCCUGGACUGGGGCGACCCGUGGUUUGUGGAGGUCUUCGCCUGCAUGGUCCUUUGUCAGGAGGUCAGCUCAGAGCUCAGCCCUGCAGGUGGUAUGUCCCCCGUCCUGCGAGUGCAUUUGCAUGUGGUGAGGGAUAUGCUGUGCCCAAGCUUUGCCCCCCAGAGACCCAGAGGUAUCCCACCAAGGCCAAAGGGACGCUGUCCCCAGCCCUGCCGAGGCCAGGAACUCCAGGGAAGCUGUCGGCCGCAGAGCAUCAAGGAGCAGUGCAGGUCGUUUGGAGGGUUCGUCUUCUGAACCAGGAGCAGGGGCGCGGCUGCUCUGGGGUGUCCCCUCUGAGCUGGACACUCAGACGUGUGAUGCAUUACGUCACAUCACAGGCUGGCUACCUCUAGAUCGUGUCGUUCAUAUUCGAGGUCAGAGAGUUUUUGUAUGCCGGUGACUGUCACUUCCCGGGAAAUGGCGGUAAAGCGUCUUGAGGAAUGGGAAGCGUUUUCUAACUUCACCAACACACGCUUCAGGCUAGAAGCGGGGAGGUCAGGCAAUUGUUGUCGCAGCUCUGUGAGAUGCAGAUUAAAAGCUCCAUUGUACAGAUAGGGAAACUGAGGCUCAGAGAGUUUACCAAGCUUGACAGAACCAGGAUUUGGACCCAGGUCUUACCAGAGGAGUCUAUGCUCCUUCUCUGCGCCAAGCCUUCCUCCAUGGCCUCGUGUCACGGCCUGGGGAGAGGGGCCACAGUGAGAAAUCUAGAAACAAAACGAAAGACGUUCUUAAGACGUCAGACCAGGUGUGUGCGUCUGCCUCCCUCUCUGUUCCCGGUCCCACUGAAAUGACAGCAGAGAGGCACAAGGAGAAAAACUCAAAAAGCUGUUCAGGCCUGAACAGGGCCUACAAACCACUGAAGCUCCUGGAAAGUUUCUGGGGGACAAAUAGCUGGGAGCAGAGGGGGCCCCAGCUGAUGGAACUGGCUAAAGGAAGACUCGAGACGCUAGGGGAACCACCUGCAGGGCCGCCCAGGGUUUGCGGGUGUGGAGCGUGCGGUGAGAAGAGGCAGAGAGAACAGGAGCUGAGCUUGAGUCCUAUUUGCAGGUGAGCCGAGCCUGGUGGCGGAGAACGGCUAUCUAGUCCUCUGUAGACGCCAGGUCUUCUGGGGGUGGUGGGGGGUGGCCCUCUUCCUGUCAUCGUUUGGACAGGAUGGCA
Molecule: long non-coding RNA, 3078 nt
Organism: Equus caballus (horse)
Lineage: Eukaryota; Metazoa; Chordata; Mammalia; Perissodactyla; Equidae
Source: Ensembl